ACCUGGGAUGCUUUCUAAAGCUUAUUUAUUUGGUCUGGAAGAGAACAUCUUGUUCAUACGAACAUAUGAAACUGGUUAGAGAGUGUUGUCCCCUACAACUUGCAAUGGCAUGAGGGAGUAUCAUUUCUAGGAGGACCAUUUAUGUAUCUGGAUGACCAUUUACAUUGCAGAUUUCCAGAAGAGCAGUCCAGCUCAUCCCUGGCGAGCAAACGCAGGUUUUCUCCGUAACUUUCCAGUAGGAUUUGCAGUGGGUGGUCACAGACUUGAGAGCUUGGCAGCCUUUUCAGUGGUGCUGUUUGCUGCAGAAACCACUUAUUUUUAUCCUUGCAGGGAAUAAUCAUCUCCUGAUGUCUGUGCUGAAAUCUGUGAUGCGUGCAGCUGAGCUCCUUAACUUCACAAGGUCUGUGCCACCACCCAUCACAGACCCCAAAGCAAGACGCCAACCCUGGCUUUACCCAUCCUCUUCCUCACCUCUUGCAGAUCCUUCUCCCUACACCUACUCCUGGCCUUUCCCUUCAGCCAGAAGAGCAUGUCCUGGAGAGCAGGUCCCACUGCGUGUUGGCUACUGGUUGGCAACCAAUUCCCACGCUGGGCAGCAACUCCUAGACCAGAUCACCUUAUCUCUGUACAUCCCUGUCCAGAAGAAGAGUCCUUGCACUGCCCCAGCUUGCCCCGGCUUCCCCACCCCACCGAUGUGUCUGCAAUAGCCUCUGACGUGUCCUCAAGACAGAAGGGAGGGCGAAUGGAAUGGUUCCUCCUCCCACCACCCUGUCUUGGAGCGCGUGGGAAGUCCGACGACUGCUGCUGGGAGAUUGUGAUGAGUCAGUGUUUGCACAUGAAGAGUCACUGCAGGGAGGUGCCAGAGAGGAGGGAGGGAUGCCCAGCCUCGUCGGGGAGUAUCUCUCCUGGGACAUGCCAGGAGGUGCCUCUUGGGAGCUCCAUCACACCAAGUCUGGGGAACCACGCCAUCCAACAUGCUGUUGGAUGGGAGGCCAUGGGAAGAAUGACUGCUAAAGAUGCUCCUAAGCACAUGUGGUGGCUUCAGACGUGGAUUAGCUCAGGACUUCAUCCCUGGAUUUAG
This 1081-nucleotide long non-coding RNA is filed under the name Calidris pugnax (ruff). RNAcentral's name for it is "lncRNA (ENSCPUG00000013952.1)". Lineage: Eukaryota; Metazoa; Chordata; Aves; Charadriiformes; Scolopacidae. The record is from RNAcentral.